This 874-nucleotide long non-coding RNA is filed under the name Homo sapiens (human). RNAcentral describes it as "HSALNT0295578". The record is from RNAcentral. Lineage: Eukaryota; Metazoa; Chordata; Mammalia; Primates; Hominidae.
GGCCUUUCCCUACUCCUUUAAUAAAAGUAGACAUUUUCUCUCAAGAUCUCAGAGUGUACUGUCCUUAUCUCUAUGAAAGCACUUGCCAUGCUAUAUUGUAUUUAAUGCAAUGUCUGUACUUCCAAAUAGACUAUAACUAUCUAAGGGCAGGAACUAAAGUAUCUCAUUUAAUGUGAUCAUGUGUUUGUUGCAUGGAUAAAUGAAAUAAGAAGGGAUUCCUGGCUGCUUCUUCCAGGCCUGUCUCCCUUUGUCUUUAAGCCCUGGAGGAGUCAACCCUACUUUGGCAAAAAACAUUUAGCAUGUCCCCUCCUCUCUCUGAGUACUGCUACCUAUCCUAUAUCCCAAGGCUACCAAAUGCAUAUUUUAAACUUUACAGAAAAUACCAUGUUAUUUAGUAUUUUACCAUUUUUAGGGUAGGGCAUAGGAAUGUGUUCCUAUCUCUCCUGUAUUUUUUCUAACCAAUGUUUUCUCUAAUUUUUAAACCCUUUCAUGGAGGCGUUUUGUAUUUUAGGUGCUGUCAUUCAGAGUCCACAGGAUGGAUGAAUGGAUAUGAAAAUGAACAAACGUGUGACACAACACUGCAUGAUUUACCGGCAAUGACUUUCUGAUCAAGCCUGAACAUCCCAAGACAACCAUGCUGUGAAGAAGUCGGUCUACCCCACUGGAGAAGGAAAGGCUGUUCAGGGAAGUGAAGAUGCCCCAGCUGACAGUCACCACCUGCCAGACAUGUGAGCAAGGCUGUCUGAGACCUUCAGUCUCAGUCAAGCCAUCAGAAAGUUGCAGCCAGUUGAGUGAUCCCAAGUGAGACCAGCAGCGAUAAUGCCCAGUUUGCCAAAACAGAAUUGUGAGAAAUAAUAAAUCAUUGUUGUUUUAA